UAAUACGAAGCAAAGACGCAAAAUUUGGAUUUAGUUUCAAUACAAAUUCUGUGAAAAUGAUGGUGAAAUUUGCAAUCCUUGUGUUCGCUGUUUUGCAAUGUGCAGUUUUGGCGAUGGGUGCAGUUGCCCAAUACCCAGUGUCAACUCAUCCAGAUUAUCCGGAAAAAUGUUGGUUUGAGGAUGAUAAGAAGGCGUAUGGUGUUGGUGAAAAGUGGUUCAAACCAGAUUCAUGUGGCAGAUUUAGUUGCAAUGCCGACUACAGUGUAACUUAUGUUACUUGUGGCGUUAUCGCUGUUGACUCAGAUUCAGGUUUCACUAUCAGUGAAAUAGAUGUGUCGAAACCGUACCCUGAAUGUUGUCCGCAAAUAAUUAAACAAUAAUUUACAAUUUAUACAACAAUUAAAAGAGUAAAAUAACUGAGA
This is a long non-coding RNA of Bradysia coprophila, 422 nucleotides long. Lineage: Eukaryota; Metazoa; Arthropoda; Insecta; Diptera; Sciaridae. The record is from RefSeq and is a predicted model, not a curated record.